This 876-nucleotide ribosomal RNA is filed under the name uncultured bacterium. Its description in RNAcentral is "bacterial SSU rRNA". It matches the Rfam family "Bacterial small subunit ribosomal RNA", at positions 523 to 1398 of the family's 1533-position model. The record is from RNAcentral.
AUACGUAGGGUGGCAAGCGUAUCCGGAAUUAUUGGCGUAAAGAGCUCGUAGGCGGUUUGUCGCGUCUGCUGUGAAAACUGGGGGCUCACCCCCAGCCUGCAGUGGGUACGGGCAGACUAGAAUGCGGUAGGGGAGAUUGGAAUUCCUGGUGUAGCGGUGGAAUGCGCAGAUAUCAGGAGGAACACCGAUGGCGAAGGCAGAUCUCUGGGCCGUAACUGACGCUGAGGAGCGAAAGGGUGGGGAGCAAACAGGCUUAGAUACCCUGGUAGUCCACCCCGUAAACGUUGGGAACUAGUUGUGGGGUCCAUUCCACGGAUUCCGUGACGCAGCUAACGCAUUAAGUUCCCCGCCUGGGGAGUACGGCCGCAAGGCUAAAACUCAAAGGAAUUGACGGGGACCCGCACAAGCGGCGGAGCAUGCGGAUUAAUUCGAUGCAACGCGAAGAACCUUACCAAGGCUUGACAUAUACGAGAACGCUGCAGAAAUGUAGAACUCUUUGGACACUCGUAAACAGGUGGUGCAUGGUUGUCGUCAGCUCGUGUCGUGAGAUGUUGGGUUAAGUCCCGCAACGAGCGCAACCCUCGUUCUAUGUUGCCAGCACGUAACGGUGGGAACUCAUGGGAUACUGCCGGGGUCAACUCGGAGGAAGGUGGGGAUGACGUCAAAUCAUCAUGCCCCUUAUGUCUUGGGCUUCACGCAUGCUACAAUGGCCGGUACAAAGGGCUGCAAUACCGUAAGGUGGAGCGAAUCCCAAAAAGCCGGUCCCAGUUCGGAUUGAGGUCUGCAACUCGACCUCAUGAAGUCGGAGUCGCUAGUAAUCGCAGAUCAGCAACGCUGCGGUGAAUACGUUCCCGGGUCUUGCACUCACCGCCCGUC